Long non-coding RNA from Ornithodoros turicata, 962 nucleotides. RefSeq lists it as uncharacterized. The transcript is spliced from 5 exons. NCBI's taxonomy places the organism in Eukaryota, Metazoa, Arthropoda, Arachnida, Ixodida, Argasidae. The record is from RefSeq and is a predicted model, not a curated record.
CCUUCGUACGCGUCUGGUUUCUCAGAAUGUGUUGUAUGAGAUGGGGGGAUUGCGAAGCAGCAGUGGGACAUUUUCCCGGAAUGGGCUGUAGCGGAUCCUAGAGUAGGAGCGAGUCUUCUCACAGAAUCGAGACAAUCAAGAUGGCAUCGAAAGGCAGCCCUGCCGCGUCCUCGCUGUGUGCUGGAUAGAAGAAGAAACUGCGGUUGCGGACCAAAUUUCGUGUUACAGCGUUGAAGACGACGAAUGCGUUGGGGGAACCAGGACGAGCCGUAACACGCGGGCGAGCAGUAUCUGCUCGAAAUGGAGGACACGAGUUGCAGUGCAGGACACCGACUUUUACUUGGUGUGUGUGAGUGUGUGCCUGUGUUAACAUCAACCAAGGAACUGCUCUGACACUAUUCGUGAGAAAAGAACGAGGCGCACUGCAAAGCAGCUAGCAAGAAGGUGUGCAGAAAAAGGAAAACCAGGUGCUGAACUGUCAGCUGGACACCUCGGAGAACACAAUCAGUGCAGCCGGGAUUGUAAACACAUUGCAGAGCUCUCCUGUCUAAAGUUCAGCGAAGGCGCAGGAGGUCAUUUCGUGUGACAAAGUCUGGGUGAAGCAGAUUCCGGACGUGAUUAACCAGAUGAGGCUUAGUUAAGGAUCCUGACCAUUUCACUCAGAUUUAGUCCAAACAAGAGCUCCUAAUUGUAUACCCCAGGAGCAACAAGAGAGGUCAUGCCUGAACGUGCACCUCAGAACCAGAAAGCAGUUUCAGCAGGGUGGCACAGGACAAGAUGCUGAGGACACAGUGACCACCCUGCAACUGAAGUCUUGCCUGUGUCCCAUGUGAUGAACAGUUGUCUACCCAUAGUUUUCAACAUUACAUACUUUGGGCCGGUGGAACAGCUCAGCUCUUAUGUACAGGUAUCUGCACAGUUAACCAAUCUCCCGCUUCCGUGGCUUUGCCCCAAUAAGCUCC